ACACUCUGGUUUUUCUUCAGAUCGCAUAAAUCUUUCGCGUUUAACUAAAGAUUUCCGUGGAGAGUAGCGCUGUGAGCAUGAACUACCGUAAUUGUUUGGUGUCCGUCCUCAAGGCUGGGA
Molecule: small nuclear RNA, 120 nt
Organism: Coregonus clupeaformis (lake whitefish)
Lineage: Eukaryota; Metazoa; Chordata; Actinopteri; Salmoniformes; Salmonidae
Product: U5 spliceosomal RNA
Exons: 1
Source: RefSeq, a predicted model, not a curated record